GAUCAUUUUUAAUUUUUCUAUAAUUUUUUUAUUAUUUUUUUAUUUUGUUUUAAGUGGUUUUUGGCUUCACGGCGAGCAGAACUUUGCGUUCGGAAUGUCGCAAUCCUGAAUCUCAGCGCUCCGGGGGUAAUUCCGGGGUGAUUUCCCUUUUUGUCUGCUCCAAAGGAGCAGUGAAAGGAGGGGGAAGGAGCUGGGGGGGCCCCUCGUGACUCUGAGGAUUGGGAAAGCGAUCAUUCCAGCCAGGAAAUAAACAGGAGUGUUGGGAAAGAGCCCCGGCCCAGGUGUGGAGCAGGUGGUUGGGUUGCUGGGCUGGAGCCUGGCCAGGAGCUCAUUCCUAGUUCAGUUUUCCUCCCCAAAAUUCACUUCCUCACUCACUUUUCCUGCCCAGGAACCUGUUCCUUGCUCUUUUCCUCCCCAAAAUUCACUUCCUCACUCACUUUUCCUGCCCAGGAACCUGUUCCUUGCUCAGUUUUAUUCCCCAAAAUUUGGCUCCUCACUGUUUUCCUCCCCAAAAUUUGGUUCCUUCCUCAGUUUUCCUCCCCAGAAUUUGGUUCCUCCCUCAGUUUUCCUCCCCAAAAUUUGGUUCCUCCCUCAGUUUUCCUCCCCAAAAUUUGGUUCCUCCCUCAGUUUUCCUCCCCAAAAUCCAUUUCUUCCCUCGGUUUUCCUCCCCAGCUGUCUGGCCAGAGCUGGGCUGGGAGGGGAUUUGCCUUUUUUUGCUUUUCCUGCUUGAGCCACGAGCUUUGGGAAGGCUGGGAUGCGAUUCCAGGCCCUGGCAGCUUUUUGUUACUGCACAUCCCGGCUUCCCUGGGCCUUGGGUCCUUCCAGGGUCAAGGAAUUGGGGCUGUCAGUGCUGAUUCCAUGUGUCCAGGUCCUUGCAGGGUUAUGGAAUGGGGGUGUCAGUGGUGAUUCCACAUACUCAGGUCCUUGCAGGGUUAUGGAAUGGGGGUGUCAGUGGUGAUUCCAUGUACUCAGGUCUUUGCAGGGUUAUGGAAUGGGGCUGUCAGUGCUGAUCCCUGUGGCCAGGUCCUUGCAGGGUUAUGGAAUGGGGCUGUCAGUGCUGAUCCCUGUGGCCAGGUCCUUGCAGGGUUAUGGAAUGGGGGUGUCAGUGGUGAUUCCAUGUACUCAGGUCCUUGCAGGGUUAUGGAAUGGGGCUGUCAGUGGUUAUUUCAUGUGUCCAGGUCCUUGCAGGGUUAUGGAAUGGGGCUGUCAGUGCUGAUCAUUGUAUCCAGGUCCUUGCAGGGUUAUGGAAUGGGGGUGUCUGUGGUUAUUCCAUGUGCCCAGGUCCUUGCAGGGUUAUGGAAUAGGGGUGUCAGUGGUGAUCCCUGUGCCCAGGUCCUUGCAGGGUUAUGGAGUGGGGCUGUCAGUGCUGAUCCCCGUGCCCAGGCCCUGCCCAAGCCCUGCCUGGCUCCGGGCACGGCCAGCAGGGAUCGGGAUCAGGAUCGGGGUGUGGGAAUGGGUGUGGGGAGCGCCGCAGAGCCUGAGCUGGAAGCGCUGGAGGAGACUGGGAAUGUCAUCCCGCUUUUCCCUGCGGGUUUCCAGGGAUCUCCAGGGGGAAAAUCCCGCUCGGGGAUGGCAGCAGCGACCUUGGAGGUGCCAGAGGCCGAACCUUGUGCUGGUCCCUGGUGAUUCCCAGGGAGGCGAUUCCCAGUUUGGGAAUGGCGAGGGAUCGGAGGGAUCCUCGCCUUGUGCAAGGUCACUCCUGCUGCUCCUCCCGGAUUUGGGAUUCCCGGCUCUGGGGAGCUUUCCCAGUGCAGGGAAACCGGGAUGAGAUUUUGGGGGGAUUCAGGAAGAGAGAACCCAGGAGCCGCCGUUUUCCAGCGGGAACCGGGGCUGGGAAUGAGCGAGGGCAGAGAUCUGCGGCCGCUCCCGGCUUUUCCCACAUCCCUGCUGGAUCUCGGGGGGCUCUGUUUUCCAUGAUUUUCCCCGGGCAGGAGGAGCAGAAGCCGCUGGCGCUCCAGGAAAUCCCGUCUGGCUCCCACGUCACUCCCUCACCCCAUCCCGGCUCCCUCCUCCCCCAACUCGCUGCUCCCACAUUUCAUUUUAGGCAUUUAUUUUUUUAUUCUUUUUAAGGUGGGAUUUUUUUUUUUUUAAUUUAUUUUUUAUUUUUUCACCCUGAUUCUUUGGAAAACGCAGAACAGCCGCAAAUCUUCCCAGCGGGAAUAACAUCCCAGGAGUCCCGCAGGGCUGUGAGCUCUCCCGGGCCGGGUGGGGAUGGAGCUGCAGAUGGCUCCAGGGCCCGGCUUGGAAAUUUUUCCAUGACUUUUCCUGGCACAUUGCGACUCCCGGUGGGUUGUGCUCUGCCCAGGCGCGACCUUGCCGGGGGAAUACGGCUGAUAUAAAUAAUUUUGGGAAGCUGGAACUCGC
Molecule: non-coding RNA, 2364 nt
Organism: Cyanistes caeruleus (blue tit)
Lineage: Eukaryota; Metazoa; Chordata; Aves; Passeriformes; Paridae
Source: RefSeq, a predicted model, not a curated record